RNAcentral lists this ribosomal RNA (491 nucleotides) under uncultured bacterium. Its description in RNAcentral is "partial 16S ribosomal RNA". It matches the Rfam family "Bacterial small subunit ribosomal RNA", at positions 29 to 506 of the family's 1533-position model. The record is from RNAcentral.
AGUGAACGCUGGCGGUAGGCCUAACACAUGCAAGUCGAACGGCAGCACAGUAAGAGCUUGCUCUUACGGGUGGCGAGUGGCGGACGGGUGAGGAAUACAUCGGAAUCUACUUUUUCGUGGGGGAUAACGUAGGGAAACUUACGCUAAUACCGCAUACGACCUACGAGUGAAAGCAGGGGAUCUUCGGACCUUGCGCGAUUGAAUGAGCCGAUGUCGGAUUAGCUAGUUGGCGGGGUAAAGGCCCACCAAGGCGACGAUCCGUAGCUGGUCUGAGAGGAUGAUCAGCCACACUGGAACUGAGACACGGUCCAGACUCCGACGGGAGGCAGCAGUGGGGAAUAUUGGACAAUGGGCGCAAGCCUGAUCCAGCCAUACCGCGGGGGUGAAGAAGGCCUUCGGGUUGUAAAGCCCUUUUGUUGGGAAAGAAAAGCAGCAGGUUAAUACCCCGCUGUUCUGACGGUACCCAAAGAAUAAGCACCGGCUAACUUCGU